UGCCUGUUUAAUAAAGGUAAAAGGAACUUCAACGUAUGCUGAUUUAAGAGGUUAUAUCAGCACGCCAGGCCUGUCUUCCCAGUUUUGUUGGUUUGCCAAGUAAAUUUCUGGGUCUUUUUUGAGUGAACAUUGAGCUUGUAUUCAUCAAAGUAGAAUCAUUUUUCGUAUUGACCGGAACAGAAAACAAGUGUUGCUGCUUCUGCUGUUUCCAUUACCUGACUCUAAUCUCUCUUCAGCACACCCCUCCAGCAUUAUCAGCUAUACAGGAGAGAAAUUGAAAA
Molecule: long non-coding RNA, 281 nt
Filed under: Fukomys damarensis (Damara mole-rat)
Lineage: Eukaryota; Metazoa; Chordata; Mammalia; Rodentia; Bathyergidae
Description: lncRNA (ENSFDAG00000021696.1)
Source: RNAcentral